GGCUAGGUGGCCGAGUGGUUAAGGCGUAUGUUUCAAGCACAUAUCUCGCAAGAGUCAUCAGUUCGAACCUGGUCCUAGUCA
This 81-nucleotide transfer RNA is filed under the name Gaeumannomyces tritici R3-111a-1. RNAcentral describes it as "tRNA-Leu (CAA) (tRNA-Leu-CAA-2-1)". It matches the Rfam family "tRNA". Rfam says of the family: Transfer RNA (tRNA) molecules are approximately 80 nucleotides in length. Their secondary structure includes four short double-helical elements and three loops (D, anti-codon, and T loops). Lineage: Eukaryota; Fungi; Ascomycota; Sordariomycetes; Magnaporthales; Magnaporthaceae. The record is from RNAcentral.